UAGCGCGGUGGUCCCACCUGCCCCCAUGCCGAACUCAGAAGUGAAACGCCGUAGCGCCGAUGGUAGUGUGGGGUCUCCCCAUGUGAGAGUAGGGAACUGCCAGGC
This 105-nucleotide ribosomal RNA is filed under the name Klebsiella variicola. Lineage: Bacteria; Pseudomonadati; Pseudomonadota; Gammaproteobacteria; Enterobacterales; Enterobacteriaceae. The record is from RNAcentral.